Molecule: transfer RNA, 76 nt
Filed under: Candidatus Gottesmanbacteria bacterium
Lineage: Bacteria; Candidatus Gottesmaniibacteriota
Description: tRNA-Thr
Rfam family: tRNA
About the family: Transfer RNA (tRNA) molecules are approximately 80 nucleotides in length. Their secondary structure includes four short double-helical elements and three loops (D, anti-codon, and T loops).
Source: RNAcentral
GCCUAGAUAGCUCAGUCGGCAGAGCGCAUUCUUGGUAAGAAUGAGGUCUCGGGUUCGAUUCCCGAUCUAGGCUCCA